UAUUGCACAAUGGGGGAAACCCUGAUGCAGCGACGCCGCGUGAAGGAAGAAGUAUUUCGGUAUGUAAACUUCUAUCAGCAGGGAAGAAAAUGACGGUACCUGACUAAGAAGCCCCGGCUAACUACGUGCCAGCAGCCGCGGUAAUACGUAGGGGGCAAGCGUUAUCCGGAUUUACUGGGUGUAAAGGGAGCGUAGGCGGUUCAGCAAGUCAGAAGUGAAAGCCCGGGGCUCAACUCCGGGACUGCUUUGGAAACUGUAAAACUGGAGUGCAGGAGAGGCAGGCGGAAUUCCUAGUGUAGCGGUGAAAUGCGUAGAUAUUAGGAGGAACACCAGUGGCGAAGGCGGCCUGCUGGACUGUAACUGACGUUGAGGCUCGAAGGCGUGGGGAGCAAACAGG
This 397-nucleotide ribosomal RNA is filed under the name uncultured bacterium. Its description in RNAcentral is "bacterial SSU rRNA". It matches the Rfam family "Bacterial small subunit ribosomal RNA", at positions 362 to 776 of the family's 1533-position model. The record is from RNAcentral.